GGAAGGUUCUGCACCACAAGGGGACAGUGAGGAGCCUGGGGAGGGCCUGGGGGGACGGCCGCACCAGCUCCCCCACCCAGGGAGGCCCAGAGAGCCCAGGCCCAGAGCAGGAGUGAGACUGGCCCAGUCAGCAGAGGAAGGGGCGGGCAGCACAGGGGCCCCAAGGUGUGACGGAGCGUCAACGUCCGCAGCAGUCGGGGACAGCGUCUCCAAACUUGAGGGGGCAGAGUGAACCAGGCGGACUUUCCCCGUCCACGCGUGACCACGCGGCCCGCGUGACCACGCCCCGUGCACCCCCACGGGAGGGAAGGUGCACACCCGUGUGCGGGAUGUCAGGAUGCACCGGUGACAUGAGGGCCUGAAGGGACAGUGGGAACCGGCCUUCGGGUCACCUCACUCCAGUCAGAACGGCCAUGGGGACAGAAGGAAUGGCGAAGAAUGUUGGCGAGGAUGGGGGUGGGGGACGGCCCCUGUACCUUGUUGGUGGGCCACGCGCUCUGGAAAGCACCCAGGGAUCGGACCCCCGUGACCCGUCCCACUUCUGAGUCCUGAUCCAAAAGGUGGAGAUCAGCACCGGACGGCGGAACAGCCACGGCAGGAUGUCACAGCCGCACACCUCACAGUGGACAGGACGUGACCCCGGCAGGACGCCAGCACCAACCGAAGAAUGGACAAACUUUGGGUUCUGGAACUGCUCCGUGUAUUUGUGGAAGACUACCUACACCUGCUGUGGUGGAGAGUCACAUCCUGAGCUUAUGAGCUGCUGAGAGUAUUGGUUGAGGCAUGGGACAGCGAGUGGCAGAUGACCCCAUCCGCCUGCAUGGAGGACGAAGUGAGGAGAGCAGACUCCAGGGGUCUGCAGAAGGGAGCCAGGGCACAGGGAAGGCAGGCGGAGCCAUUCUCUGCACCUGCGGCCACCACUGCUCCUUCUCUACCAGAUCUGACAGACACGUCUGCUUUGGCCUCUGACCCCCCGCCAGUGUCUCCCGGCCUUGGAUGCCACAGUCCUGGAUCUGACCCUAGGAACUGCCACUCUCGAGCUGUGUGACCUGGCCUACCUGACGGAGCCUCGGUUGUGAAACGGGGAUAACUGCAGCCCGCGUCACAGAGUUGGGGGAGAGGAAAAUGGAAGGGCCCCCCAUGCCCCUUCGACUCCUCGGCUGCCGUAACGAGGGCCAAGGACUGGAAAACCCCAUGGCCAGGCCCCUCCCGGCUCCCCACCUCUGUGCCGGCCUCUGUUGCCCUGAGCAGCCUGGAGAGGAGCCUGGUGGGGGCCUCCCGAGGGAUGGCCGUGGCACGGGAAGGAGGGCGGUCCCAGGCCGGCCCUGCUACCUAGGCGAGGGGACGUUGCUGCUGAGAGUCUGGUCACUGGUUUAAUAAGAGAUGCUGAGCUUUGUGCGGAGGGUGCCGUCCAAGCCCCGGGGACACCUGGGGCCACCGACCGCAGCCACCUCAUGGGUAUUGGCGCUUUGCUCCAGACUCAGUGGCCAUCAGGUCUGGCCCACAGAGGUGCCUCGAGAGGCUGCCACGGCACUUCCCACGGCACUUCCCACGGCCUGGCGGGUCCAGAGCAGAGCCUCCUCCCCCUGCCCAGCUGAGGGCUUCCACCCUCCACCUGGACGCUCCCCAGGCCUGGCUCCUCUGUCCAGCCGCCAGCUCUGCUGCUCUGGUGCCUCCUGCGGCCACGGCACCCAGCGCCACACUGCGCCACACUGUGCCACACUGUGCCACGCAGUGCCACACAGCGCCACGCUCCGCCACACUGUUAUGGCAGGCAGUCUGACAGCCGAGAUGACACCAAGUGGCAGCCGGCGGCAUACACAGUGGGGACGUGGAGGGCGGUGGGGUGACUCUCACAGCAGCACACACGUGGGCUGACUAGAACACUGAGCACGUGAAACCAAAAAAUUGCUCGUUUCUGGAAUUUUCCAUCUCGUGUUUGAACCAGGGUUGACUGCAGACCAUGGAAACCGUGUGCGGCGACACCGUGGAUGGGAGGUGACGGUGAAGGGGGUGGGACAAGGAAGGACACUGGGGGAAUCUGAGGCCACCUCCCCAGCGCCCACACAUCCCCAGGAAUGGGGUCCUGGGCAGAGUGACUGUGGACCAUGGCUGUGUGAUCCCGCCAGAAGGGGCUCUCCGUCAGGUACCACCGGAAAUCACCCAGUAGGGAAUCCAUGCUGAGGUGAGUCAGGGGACGCCGCGCAGCAGGCCAGGCCUUCUCACAGCUGGGGGGCAGCAGGGCUGCCACGCAGGGUCCCUUCCCGGUUUAGAAUCCGGUGUCAGCCGCAGCCAAAGGCUCUUUUUGGCUCCGUUUCUUGUCUCUGUGUACACCCGUGUGUCUCUGUGCCCAUCAGAGUUGGUAGCUGCAGCAUCUGUUUUUGCUGUUGGGAUAUCCCGGGCUGUUUGGUUCAGUUAUGGGCACAUCCAUCAUUUCCCACCACAAAUGCAGAUAGAUGGCUGCUCCGUGAAUCUCCCCGUUUCCUAAGACACUGUUUCCAUCACACGACUCUCUAAGUUUGGAAUCACUUCAAAAACAAACACGUCCAUCUUCAAAAGAAGAAGAAGAAGAGCAGGAGGGGGGCCUCUGUGGUCACCUCGCUGGGCAGCGGCUCGCCCCUGGGCACGUCUGACGGGCGCUCCUGCUUCUCCGCACACGGGAUCCCCUCACGGGCCUGUUCUGAGCGCCGAGCGGCACGCGGCUGUGGGUGGACGGCUUUCACCCAGCGGCAGCACGGCAGGAUCCCACCGAGGGCCAGAGGGCCUGGUGCGGGCACUGGGGUGGCAGCCCUGGGGCAGCAGGGCUCUGUCGGUCAUUGACCCUCUGACAGGGCUACCGUGGUGGACCGAAAUGCUGCUCUGUGACGACCCACGGCAAAUCUGUCGUGGGCACGUCUGAAUCCAGGCCAAGAGGACAAGCAGGUGGACCGAGCCACCAGGCCCGCUUUUUCUGAAGUCCAGCUGACCCCACCCAGGGUUAGAGGACUGUGGCCGAGGAGCCCGACUGGGGGAGGCCCUGGUGCGGGGGAUGCGCCCACCUGCCACAAGCCGACCUUCACAUUCAGAGAAGGUCUCCAAGGUGACCCCUUUGAGCCGCUCCAAUAUCCACCCUGGGUCACCCCUGGCCUGGGAGCUGCUGGACCUGGCCUGGCCCGGCUCCCUGCCUAACAAGGUGGGUCUGAUGAGCUUUCUGACUGUACCAGUGAGAUCUGACCAGGAAUCUGAGAGCGGAGACCUCCCAGGACCUCCACCUUGUGCAUCUCUAAGUCGCGAGGGAGGAUCCAGUGGGUCCCAGGCAGUGGCUUUCAGUGCCCACUCGCUCCCACACCGGAUUCCAGAACAUUCCAUUCCCUGAGGUUCUCGCUGUCGGUUUUCAUCCGCCUCCACUUCCUGGUCCAGCAGGAGUCUCCAUGGUGACCGAUGGAGUUUUCCUGUGUUGCUAAGGAACAAGAGAGCCCUUUGGAAGGACCAGGAUGGAGCCAGGCGAGGACAGGCAGGCCAGGGUUCAGAGCCCCCGUGUCCACACCUCUGGUCCGUGCCCACCUCUCCACCUUGCCUCCGAGGGGUCUCUGCAGAAUGGCACACAAGCCGGCUCUGAGCCUCCAGAGUCGGCAGAGCCCACGUUUCCCGUCAGCAUCUGGCCACGCUCACCACUCACUCCACAGCACUCACUGACUGCGGCCGGUCAGCGGGCCAGACCCAGAGAAGAGUCUCCAGGAGGUGCUGGGGAGAGGGUGCUGGGUGGUCAGGUCUGAUCCUGUGACCAGGCCACAGCAGCCCCCGCCACUCCCCCCCUCAAGUGAGUUUCUGUGAAGGUGUGUGCCCUGAGUGGGUCUCCCAGGUGUGUCCCCCUGUCCAGGCCCCUCUGUGGCACCCACCAGGGUGCACGUGUCCCAUGUAAAUCGCACACUGAUGGCCACCCAUCAUUUUUAGAACACGUCCUCGGGCAGAGUCCAGCUGCAGCCUUCGGGGCCCUGUGGACUCGAAGGAGCCACGAGUCUCGCGCAGCCUGGUGAACUGUCCUGCGGCCUCCCUGGACCGUGUGCCCGGAGGCCAGAGCAGGAUGUUCAAGAGAUGGCAACUGCAGUCGAGUGCCCCAGCGUGACGCUUCCGUCAAUGCCAGCCCUGUGCGUGACGGUGGCCCUGCAGGACGAGGCUGCCGAGACCCCUGCAGCUGCCUCUGUUUGCACAGCUCACCAUGCGAAGCCUGCGUGGCUCACCGUGCGAAUCCUGCAGGGAACACCGUGCGAAUCCUGCAGGGCUCACCGUGCGAAGCCCGUGUGGCUCACCGUGCGAGGCCCGCACAAGAAGGAAAGCGGGCAGCCCACGUGGCUCGGGGCUGACAGCCCUGCAGAGGGAGAAGGGAAGACAUGACCUUGGGGAGACCAGGGCUUCAGGAGGAGGGGCACGCCCUGUCCCAGCUCAGGUGGCGUCUGGCCUGAGCCCGGGCGGAAGCAGGCCGUGAGGUAUCUCCAGAGGACAGAGGGCCCCGGGGAGGCCGGGUGGAAGGGCAGCUGGGGGAGGGCUGAUGGGUGAGUAGGUAGCUGAGAGGGCAGGUGGGUGGUGGUGGGUGGGUCGGUGGACGUGCGUCCAGAAGCUGACCACAGAGAUCUCUCCCACCCCAACAAGAGAGGUCCGGGUGCAGGUGGAGCCGAGCUGUGCGCCCUGUGACACCCCGAGGCAUGCACAGCCCCUUCCCCAGCACGUGUUAAGUCCCCACCGUUUGCUGGACCCUGAUUGUUGGUCCACACAGAAUCUUUAUCUGGCCCCUCCUGGGCCCCUCCAGCCGCAGUCUCCGUGGCAACAGCCGGGCCCAGCAGGCACCCCACACCAGCAAGGCUCCUAAUGGAGAAGGCCGGCCGUCGCCCUCCAGCCAGGGUCCCUGGGCGUGGGAGGACCCUCAGAGACCCCAGGCGCUGGCCGGACGGUGGGGUUCACGUCAAUCUGUGGUGCUCACUAGGGUGCAGAGCACGCUGCCCGUGGGGGUCAGGGCAGGGGUCCUGCAGGCGCCACCAGCCUACUGCCAGCCCCUUGUGAGUCCCUCGUGUUGCCAGCCGACAGGGGCCAGGCCACCAGACCCUGCCCUGGGUGGACAGGAGGAGCAGGAAGUAAGCACACUCCUCAGCGCCACCAGGCCUGGGGCAGGCAGGCCUCCGCUGACCCUGGACCCUCACCCACGCCCUCAGUGUGUGGGUGGGGGGCUGCGCUGCACACAGGGCUCGGGAGGGGGCGAGGCCCUGAGAGAGGUCCGGUCCUGGGGGAGGAGGAGGGCAGGGUCAGAGGGCAAAGCUCGUCGGGGCACAAUUAGGAUGGGGUCUGGGGCGGGGAGCUGUUUUCCAUCAAGUGCCGAGAGCCCCUCUGAAGUGACCUUUGGGCAGCUCUGAAACAAGAGCAGGAGCCGCGGUCCCGCCAAGGUGGUCCGACUCCAUGAUGGGCCCUUCCCCAAAAGGCCAAGUGACAGAGACAGAAACCAGAUCCGGGCGGCCGAGUGUGGGUGGCGUGGCAUGUUUACUUGUCCAGGAGCGUGUGGGACGUUGGGAAGGUGACGGGGAGUUAAUUGUGAUGGCGGUUACAUGAUUGUAUGCAUUUGUCAAAACCAAUAGACUCGUAGAGCAGAAAAGGUGACCUCGACCGCGAGCCACCCCGAGUGACCGGCUUUCUGAAUGUCUGUCAAUGUGGAGGGUCUCUGCAAAGGAAAAGGGGCUCCGCGCCUCGCAGACCGUGGGGCUCAGGCCCUGGGCUUCUCGCCCUGGGUCCUGCCACCUCCCUGUCGAGCAUCCACCAUGAGCCCUACUGCGCGCCUUCCUCUCGUCUCCACCAGAGCAGAACGCACUCAGACCACAGGGUGCUGGUGGGCAGAGGGCGAAGGGAGCCGGCCCUGGGACAGGCACUGGAGAGGGGAGGAUGGGAGGGACAGCCCCUGCGCAUCCCGCACCCACGGGCUCACCUCCAGAGGGAGAGAGACGAGCAGACCCAGUCCAGGGUGGGCUGUGACAGUGGCCCUGAAGGAUGGUGACGAAGGCAGAGUGGGAGACACCCAAGGGAGAGGGCUACUUGAGGUGACCAAGGAGGACCAGCCCUGACGGUGGAGCUGGAGCAGAGGCUCAAGGAAGGAGGAGUCCAGAGAAUCUCAGGAAGAGCCUCUCGGGCAGGUGGAGUAGAGGACAAGGCCCCGAGUAGGACUGUCCCUGCACUGCUUGAAGGACAACGGAGGUCAGUGAGCUGGAGGGAAGGGGGAGAAAGGAGGCCGGGAGGGAAGGGCGUCCAGGUGCAGAGAGGCUCAGCAACCGAGACUGGACAGGACAAUGGGGAGCUCAGAGGACACCUGAGACCCUUUCCUGUCUCAGAGAGAUGGGUGGACGGACGGACGGAUGGCUGGAUGGCUGGACAGACAGAUGAACAGACGGAUGGAUGGACGGAUGGACGGAUGGAUGGAUGGAUAGACAGAUGAUGGGUGGCUGGCUGGAGAGAUGGACGGACUGACCAACUGAUGAAUGUGCAGAGGGGAUGGGUAGUUGGGUGGGCGCUUUGAGCGGGUGAAAGGACAGAUGGACGCCUGCGGAGUCCCUCAUCUCUGCUUUCUCCCCAUGCUCCUCCUCAAGAAACCUCAACCCUAUUCCCGCCUCCAAAACCCACCUGCAUUUGGAGGAUUCCCAAAUCCCCGACUGCAGCCCGGACUUGCAGCGCCAGGAGCGUUUACCCAGCUGUACACUGGACCUUUCAGGUGGUUUUCAAACUCAGCAAACUCAAAGUUGAUCCCGUCAGCCACAAAAAUCCUGUAGCCACCCGCCAGUGAGGCUCCGUGUCCUCGCGGGACAGUGGACGGCCCUUGCUCCUAAGUCUGUCUCCUCCAUCUCCACGGCCACCACUUGGGCUCCACCAGGGUCAUUGUUUUUGUUUUGUUUUUUUUCUGGACAAUUUUUCUCAAAAGUAAGUGUUGUAUGGAAGAAAAACCUAAAGUGACUGUUUCUUCCCUCACCUGUAAGUCUGCGAUUCGAGCCUGCAAUGGUGGGGUGUGUAUCGCUAAGUAAAUACAGAGUAAAGAGAGGGGUAUGGGGGCAAGGGGUCCCCAAACGCUUUGCUGGUAGAGUGCACAGUGACGGUGGCCUCCCAACCCCACUGUCCCUUCCCCAGCCCGUCGGUGGCUCCGUGGCUGCAGUUUCAGGGUUCCCUUCCACGUGUUGACGUCCCCGACAGAGCAGGCCCCAGCAUGUUGCAGCCACAGACAUCACAUCUCCAGGCGGGGGGGCUUGGGGGCCUGUAGAAGGCCACUUGGCCCUGGCCCACUGCCACGGUCGGCCAGGAGUGCGGGGAGCCGGCCCCUCUGAGCAGCCGGUGGUGCUGGGCUGGGCUCUGACUCCCCUGCUCCUCCGUGAGACGGUGCUGUGCUCGCUGCAGGUUCUGUUCUCCACGGGGAACCGUGAGCCCUGUGCCAUCGUGACUGGUGUGACUCACGGCCACUGCUCUUCCACUGCUCCCGUCUGUGCCCCCGCCUGCUGGCCUGCCCGGAUAUGGCCACCCUUAAACUCCUGGAGCUCGCCCUUGGUUUCUAGGUCUGCCCUGGAGGAGCCAAACGAGACACGUGUCCUUUGAUGUGAAAGGCUUCCCCGGCCCAAAGUCCCAUCAGACACUUGUCACCACGUCCCUUCAUGCCCUCACGCCAGGAGCAGACCUGGGUACCCAGCUUGCUCAGAGCGGCCAAUGGUGG
Non-coding RNA from Ictidomys tridecemlineatus (thirteen-lined ground squirrel), 7708 nucleotides. Lineage: Eukaryota; Metazoa; Chordata; Mammalia; Rodentia; Sciuridae. The record is from RefSeq and is a predicted model, not a curated record.